Molecule: ribosomal RNA, 440 nt
Filed under: uncultured bacterium
Lineage: Bacteria
Description: partial 16S ribosomal RNA
Rfam family: Bacterial small subunit ribosomal RNA
Source: RNAcentral
CCUACGGGAGGCAGCAGUGGGGAAUAUUGCACAAUGGGCGAAACCCUGAUGCAGCGAUGCCGCGUGAAUGAAGAAGUCUCUCGGUAUGUAAAGCUCUAUCAGCAGGGAAGAAAAUGACGGUACGUGUAUAAGUAUCCACGGCUAAUUACGUGCCAGCAGCCGCGGUAAUACGGCGGGGGCAAGCGUUAUCCGGAUUUACUGGGCGUAAAGGGAGCGUAGACGGCCGGACAAGUCUGGAGUGAAAUGCCGGGGCUUAACCCCGGAACUGCUUUGGAUACUGUGCAGCUAGAGUGCAGGAGAGGUAGGUGGAAUUCCUGGUGUAGCGGUGAAAUGCGUAGAGAUUAGGAAGAACACCGAUGGCGAAGGCAGCUUACUGGACUAUAACUGACGUUGAGGCUCGAAAGCGUGGGGAGCAAACAGGAUUAGAUACCCUUGUAGUC